This 1163-nucleotide long non-coding RNA is filed under the name Carassius auratus (goldfish). RNAcentral's name for it is "lncRNA (ENSCARG00000023644.1)". Lineage: Eukaryota; Metazoa; Chordata; Actinopteri; Cypriniformes; Cyprinidae. The record is from RNAcentral.
GCUCAAAACACUAACUGGUGGUCGGGUGGAGCAUUUUAACCACAAAUGAACCUAAUAACUAACACAAAGAGUGAUGUUUAAUGGCCAUAAAUAUGAACAAAUCUUGCAUUAUGCUUUAAAAUUCACCUUCCUGCUGCCUUUUAGCAACAAUGGACCCCUAAUGUAAAUGACACUGAAGAGCUGCACACGUUCAUCAGCUCAUCUUAUCUAGAAAUCAUUUGGUUAAUGUACAGGAAAUGGUUAAAUCUUUGAAAACAGAACUUCAGCACGUUUGCACAAAACAAACAAAUGCUAGAGACAGACAUGAAAAGCUUCAAGAAUGUCUGAACAUGCAAGACACCGCUCAGCCUUCUGCUUUAUCUUCACCAUAGAUUGUUUGUUGGCGAUGCAUGUAAAGGCACAAGACUCUUCCAGCGAUGAACCGGCCUCAGAAAUCAAAUAUGCCGUCAUAGGAGCAGGAAUUGGCCUUUUCUUUUCCAUCUGCUUUCUGCUAAUCAAAAUUUACAUCAUCAAAAAGCAGGUGCAUGAUAGUGAACUAUCAGACACAUCACUAAGAAGAGCAUCUGCACGGAUCAUUGACGUGGAGAGCAGGAGGGAAUGAAAUAUCUUCUGAGGAUGAAUUAAUACAGUCCUUUGUCAUUCUAUGACAAUUUAAUACAGUUGUAUGUAUUAAAUUGUAACCAGUUUAGGCCUAUAAAACAAAUAAUUGUAAAAUCAGCAAUUUGCUGUGCCUUCAUGAGGUCAUUUUGUGCUUUUUUGGAGCCACACCUGCUUUAAUGUAAAAUAUAUAUACUGUACUCAGAGCUAUACAUUUAUUAAUUUUAACAUAGAAAUAUACAGUUUUUAUCAAGAGCAUAAAAGAUUUAAACCAGCUUGUCUUUUCAUUUAAAACCCAUUUGUUGUCUUUAAUCAUGCAUGUUUUCCUUCAUUCAUCAUCUGUUGUGUGGGACAAUUAAAUCUACAUUUCUAUGUCAUUAAAUAUGACUGUAUAUUUCUUAAAUCGACAAAACAGACUAUAAAAUUUAAGUCCACAUAGUCAUUGGUCUUAUUAAAAUGCAUCUUUCUCAUGCUUUAUCUACAGUAUCAGAAACACACAUAAAUGUAAUUUUUCACCAUAAAUGUGAGCUAUCUGCCUUAACUUUACUCUGAAUUUAUAAUAUGAU